This 301-nucleotide ribosomal RNA is filed under the name uncultured bacterium. RNAcentral's name for it is "partial 16S ribosomal RNA". It matches the Rfam family "Bacterial small subunit ribosomal RNA", at positions 509 to 807 of the family's 1533-position model. The record is from RNAcentral.
CAGUAGCCGCGGUAAUACGAAGGGUGCAAGCGUUACUCGGAAUUACUGGGCGUAAAGCGUGCGUAGGUGGUGGUUUAAGUCCGUUGUGAAAGCCCUGGGCUCAACCUGGGAAUUGCAGUGGAUACUGGGUCACUAGAGUGUGGUAGAGGAUAGUGGAAUUUCCGGUGUAGCAGUGAAAUGCGUAGAGGUCGGAAGGAACAUCUGUGGCGAAGGCGACUAUCUGGGCCAACACUGACACUGAGGCACGAAAGCGUGGGGAGCAAACAGGAUUAGAUACCCGCGUAGUCCCUGUCUCUUAUAC